GAUGAAGAACGUAGCGAAAUGCGAUAAGUAAUGUGAAUUGCAGAAUUCAGUGAAUCAUCGAAUCUUUGAACGCACAUUGCGCCCGCCAGUAUUCUGGCGGGCAUGCCUGUCCGAGCGUCAUUUCAACCCUCAAGCCCCCGGGCUUGGUGUUGGAGAUCGGCGAGCCCCCCGGGGCGCGCCGUCUCCCAAAUAUAGUGGCGGUCCCGCUGUAGCUUCCUCUGCGUAGUAGCACACCUCGCACUGGGAAACAGCGUGGCCACGCCGUAAAACCCCCCACUUCUGAAAGGUUGACCUCGGAUCAGGUAGGAAUACCCGCUGAACUUAAGCAUAUCAAAAGCGGAGGA
RNAcentral lists this unclassified non-coding RNA (344 nucleotides) under soil metagenome. RNAcentral describes it as "partial contains 5.8S ribosomal RNA, internal transcribed spacer 2, and large subunit ribosomal RNA". The stretch from base 1 to 120 matches the Rfam family "5.8S ribosomal RNA", at positions 35 to 154 of the family's 154-position model. The record is from RNAcentral.